GUCUAUGGCCAUACCACCCUGGACGCGCCCGAUCUCGUCUGAUCUCGGAAGCUAAGCAAGGUCGGGCCUGGUUAGUACUUGGAUGUGUGCUUUGGGGGAGUGAGGGCAGUAGUGA
This 115-nucleotide ribosomal RNA is filed under the name Ovis aries (sheep). Lineage: Eukaryota; Metazoa; Chordata; Mammalia; Artiodactyla; Bovidae. The record is from RNAcentral.